RNAcentral lists this ribosomal RNA (492 nucleotides) under uncultured bacterium. RNAcentral's name for it is "partial 16S ribosomal RNA". It matches the Rfam family "Bacterial small subunit ribosomal RNA", at positions 29 to 507 of the family's 1533-position model. The record is from RNAcentral.
AGUGAACGCUGGCGGUAGGCCUAACACAUGCAAGUCGAACGGCAGCACAGUAAGAGCUUGCUCUUACGGGUGGCGAGUGGCGGACGGGUGAGAAAUACAUCGGAAUCUACUUUUUCGUGGGGGAUAACGUAGGGAAACUUACGCUAAUACCGCAUACGACCUACGGGUGAAAGCAGGGGAUCUUCGGACCUUGCGCGAUUGAAUGAGCCGAUGUCGGAUUAGCUAGUUGGCGGGGUAAAGGCCCACCAAGGCGACGAUCCGUAGCUGGUCUGAGAGGAUGAUCAGCCACACUGGAACUGAGACACGGUCCAGACUCCUACGGGAGGCAGCAGUGGGGAAUAUUGGACAAAGGGCGCAAGCCUGAUCCAGCCAUACCGCGUGGGUGAAGAAGGCCUUCGGGUUGUAAAGCCCUUUUGUUGGGAAAGAAAAGCAGCAGGUUAAUACCCCGCUGUUCUGACGGUACCCAAAGAAUAAGCACCGGCUAACUUCGUG